AACGCUAGCUACAGGCUUAACACAUGCAAGUCGAGGGGCAGCACAAGGCAGCUAUGCUGAGGUGGCGACCGGCGCACGGGUGCGUAACGCGUAUCCAACCUUCCCGUUACUCUUGGAUAGCCUUCUUUAAGGGAGAUUAAUACAAGAUGGUGUUGAAAUUCCGCAUGUUAUUUCAACUAAAGAUUUAUCGGUAACGGAUGGGGAUGCGUGACAUUAGAUAGAUGGCGGGGUAACGGCCCACCAUGUCUACAAUGUCUAGGGGUUCUGAGAGGAAGGUCCCCCACACUGGAACUGAGACACGGUCCAGACUCCUACGGGAGGCAGCAGUGAGGAAUAUUGGUCAAUGGCCGGAUUUUUGAACCAGCCAAGUAGCGUGAAGGAUGAUUGUUCUAUGAAAAGUAAACUUCUUUUUUUUGGGAAUAAAACCUCCCACGUGUGGGAGCUUGUAUGUACCGUAUGAAUAAGCAUCGGCUAUUUCCGUGCCAGCAGCCGCGGUAAUACGGAGGAUGCGAGCGUUAUCCGGAUUUAUUGGGUUUAAAGGGAGCGUAGACGGGAGAUUAAGUCAGCUGUGAAAGUUUGAGGCCCAACCUUAAAAUUGCAGUUGAUACUGGUUUCCUUGAGUGCGGUUGAGGUGUAUGGA
RNAcentral lists this ribosomal RNA (640 nucleotides) under uncultured Bacteroidales bacterium. RNAcentral's name for it is "bacterial SSU rRNA". It matches the Rfam family "Bacterial small subunit ribosomal RNA", at positions 32 to 665 of the family's 1533-position model. The record is from RNAcentral. Lineage: Bacteria; Pseudomonadati; Bacteroidota; Bacteroidia; Bacteroidales.